RNAcentral lists this ribosomal RNA (503 nucleotides) under uncultured bacterium. RNAcentral's name for it is "bacterial SSU rRNA". It matches the Rfam family "Bacterial small subunit ribosomal RNA", at positions 28 to 517 of the family's 1533-position model. The record is from RNAcentral.
GACGAACGCUGGCGGUGUGCUUAACACAUGCAAGUCGUGCGACGAACCAGACUUCGGUCUGGGGCAAAGCGGCGAACGGGUGAGUAACACGUGGGUAAUCUGCCCCGAUGACUGGGACAACCCGAGGAAACUCGGGCUAAUACCGGAUGUGGUACGGAGACAUAAGUCUCUUUACUAAAGGUAGCUUCGGCUUCCGCAUUGGGAGGGGCCCGCGGCCCAUUAGCUAGUUGGUGGGGUCAAGGCCUACCAAGGCAACGAUGGGUAGCUGGUCUGAGAGGACGAUCAGCCACACUGGGACUGAGACACGGCCCAGACUCCUACGGGAGGCAGCAGUGGGGAAUCUUGCGCAAUGCGCGAAAGCGUGACGCAGCAACACCGCGUGAGGGAAGACGGCCUUAGGGUUGUAAACCUCUUUCAGAUGGGACGAAGGUGAUGCGGUGAAUAGCCGAUGUCAUUGACGGUACCGUCAGAAGAAGCUCCGGCUAACUACGUGCCAGCAGCCG